CUACACAGAAGGGCCUGGAACAGGCACCCCCCUGGAUGAGGAGGGCAAAGCUGUUUGGGGGGGCUCUAACAGGAAGCUCUCUGUCACUACACCCCAACUCAAAGAUCCAGGACAGCCUCAGCAUCCCCUGGUCCUUUUGGUUGAUUCUGCUUCCUCAGGGACUGGCUGUGGCUUAUCUUCAGCUUACCUGAAGGUCAAAUGACAUCUGAGGAAGUGUGACAAGAAGCUGCAUGACAAGACAGUGGGACACCCCGGCCUUUAUGACCUCGCCUUGGUGACCACACCCUGUCUACGGACCUGACCUGCAGCCUCACAGGCAAGAGAAGUGGAGCUUUAGUCCCCUCGACAGCUAAGGGGUUAUGGGUAGUGAAGCCAACAAACAGAUCCUAGUGUGGUUGAGUGACAUCUCACAUCGAUCGUCCUGCAUCCUCGAUCUACUUCUCUCUUGGGAUUUGAGGGAAACCCAAUAAAUGAAAUAUACUUA
Non-coding RNA from Peromyscus maniculatus bairdii (prairie deer mouse), 484 nucleotides. The record is from RefSeq and is a predicted model, not a curated record. Lineage: Eukaryota; Metazoa; Chordata; Mammalia; Rodentia; Cricetidae.